RNAcentral lists this ribosomal RNA (264 nucleotides) under uncultured bacterium. RNAcentral's name for it is "partial 16S ribosomal RNA". It matches the Rfam family "Bacterial small subunit ribosomal RNA", at positions 92 to 353 of the family's 1533-position model. The record is from RNAcentral.
CGAGUGGCGAACGGCUGAGUAACACGUGGAGAACCUGCCCCCUCCCCCCGGGAUAGCCGCCCGAAAGGACGGGUAAUACCGGAUACCCCCGGGCGCCGCAUGGCGCCCGGGCUAAAGCCCCGACGGGAGGGGGAUGGCUCCGCGGCCCAUCAGGUAGACGGCGGGGUGACGGCCCACCGUGCCGACAACGGGUAGCCGGGUUGAGAGACCGACCGGCCAGAUUGGGACUGAGACACGGCCCAGACUCCUACGGGAGGCAGCAUG